Molecule: long non-coding RNA, 207 nt
Organism: Oncorhynchus keta (chum salmon)
Lineage: Eukaryota; Metazoa; Chordata; Actinopteri; Salmoniformes; Salmonidae
Exons: 3
Source: RefSeq, a predicted model, not a curated record
GAUGUAGUAGGGUUAAUGAUAGAUGUAGUAGGGUUAAUGAUAGAUGUAGUAGGGUUAAUGAUAGAUAUAGUAGGGUUAAGGUUAAUGAUAGAUAUAGUAGGGUUAAUGAUAGAUAUAGUAGGGUUAAUGAUAGAUGUAGUAGGGUUAAUGAUAGAUGUAGUAGGGUUAAUGAUAGAUAUAGUAGGGUUAAUGAUAGAUGUAGUAGGG